AGGGCUGGGUUAGCAGGCUCGUAGCCCGCGGGAGCGAGUUCGGGGUGGAAAAUGAAGCACUUGCUCUGCUGGUGACCCAUGGUUCUGCAGAACUCGCAAGAUGGCCUAUUCCCCCGCGAUUCGCUAACACCCUGUCCCUGCUUGGGCUUAGAUGGCCCAGCCCCCUUCUGCUUUUGCCCGCCUAUUCCCCUGGACCCCCCUGAGGUCGACGCGCUGCCCUGUCCCUGGGAAAUCAAGGCAACCAAACGCUCAACA
RNAcentral lists this long non-coding RNA (255 nucleotides) under Volvox carteri. RNAcentral's name for it is "long non-coding RNA (VCAR_LNC001749)". Lineage: Eukaryota; Viridiplantae; Chlorophyta; Chlorophyceae; Chlamydomonadales; Volvocaceae. The record is from RNAcentral.